AGCUUUGCGCAGUGGCAGUAUCGUAGCCAAUGAGGUUUAUCCGAGGCGCGAUUAUUGCUAAUUAAAAUAGUAAAAGAUUGAAAAAAGCUAAAUAUCUUUUGGGUGGGGACUGCUUAAAUAAAAUAUGGAACAUCCAUAUAAAA
This is a non-coding RNA of Callorhinus ursinus (northern fur seal), 143 nucleotides long. Lineage: Eukaryota; Metazoa; Chordata; Mammalia; Carnivora; Otariidae. The record is from RefSeq and is a predicted model, not a curated record.